CUAUGAAGGGUAAAGUCGUAACAAGGUCUCCGUAGGUGAACCUGCGGAGGGAUCAUUAC
RNAcentral lists this ribosomal RNA (59 nucleotides) under Alternaria sp. MY-2011. RNAcentral's name for it is "partial 18S small subunit ribosomal RNA". It matches the Rfam family "Eukaryotic small subunit ribosomal RNA", at positions 1774 to 1831 of the family's 1831-position model. Lineage: Eukaryota; Fungi; Ascomycota; Dothideomycetes; Pleosporales; Pleosporaceae. The record is from RNAcentral.